GACGAACGCUGGCGGCGUGCCUAAUACAUGCAAGUAGAACGCUGAAGAGAGGAGCUUGCUCUUCUUGGAUGAGUUGCGAACGGGUGAGUAACGCGUAGGUAACCUGCCUGGUAGCGGGGGAUAACUAUUGGAAACGAUAGCUAAUACCGCAUAAAAUGGAUUAUCGCAUGAUAAUCCAUUGAAAGGUGCAAAUGCAUCACUACCAGAUGGACCUGCGUUGUAUUAGCUAGUUGGUGGGGUAACGGCUCAUCAAGGCGACGAUACAUAGCCGACCUGAGAGGGUGAUCGGCCACACUGGGACUGAGACACGGCCCAGACUCCUACGGGAGGCAGCAGUAGGGAAUCUUCGGCAAUGGACGGAAGUCUGACCGAGCAACGCCGCGUGAGUGAAGAAGGUUUUCGGAUCGUAAAGCUCUGUUGUAAGAGAAGAACGAGUGUGAGAGUGGAAAGUUCACACUGUGACGGUAUCUUACCAGAAAGGGACGGCUAACUACGUG
Molecule: ribosomal RNA, 497 nt
Filed under: uncultured bacterium
Lineage: Bacteria
Description: partial 16S ribosomal RNA
Rfam family: Bacterial small subunit ribosomal RNA
Source: RNAcentral